GACGAACGCUGGCGGCGUGCCUAAUACAUGCAAGUCGAACGCAGUUGCGAACGGGUGAGUAACGCGUAGGUAACUGCCUCAUUGCGGGGGAUAACUAAUGGAAACGAUAGCUCAUACCGCAUACUGUGAGCUGGACCUGCGUUGUAUUAGCUAGUUGGUGAGGUAAAGGCUCACCAAGGCGACGAUCCAUAGCCGACCUUGGAGGGUGAUCGGCCAAACUGGGACUGGGACACGGCCCAGACUCCUACGGGAAGGCGCAGUAGGGAAUCUUCGGAAAUGGACGGAAGUCUUACCGAGGAACGCCGCGGUGGUGAAGAAGGGUUUCGGGUUGUAAAGCUCUGUUGUUAGAGAAGCGGUAACUACCCAGAAAGGAACGGCUAACUACGUGCCAGCAGCCGCGGUAAUAC
This 407-nucleotide ribosomal RNA is filed under the name uncultured bacterium. Its description in RNAcentral is "partial 16S ribosomal RNA". It matches the Rfam family "Bacterial small subunit ribosomal RNA", at positions 28 to 526 of the family's 1533-position model. The record is from RNAcentral.